GAUGAAGAACGUAGCGAAAUGCGAUAAGUAAUGCGAAUUGCAGAAUUCAGUGAGUCAUCGAAUCUUUGAACGCACAUUGCGCCCUGUGGUAUUCCGCAGGGCAUGCCUGUUCGAGCGUCAUUUCAACCCUCAAGCCCCGCUUGGUGUUGGGCCCCGCCCGCUGUGGCCGGCCCUAAAGACAGUGGCGGCGCCGCCUGGCCCUCAGCGUAGUACAUCUCUCGCUCCAGGGUCCGGUGGCCGCCUGCCAGAACCCCCCAACUCUGUGGUUGACCUCGGAUCAGGUAGGGAUACCCGCUGAACUUAAGCAUAUCAAAAGCGGAGGA
This 323-nucleotide unclassified non-coding RNA is filed under the name soil metagenome. Its description in RNAcentral is "partial contains 5.8S ribosomal RNA, internal transcribed spacer 2, and large subunit ribosomal RNA". The stretch from base 1 to 120 matches the Rfam family "5.8S ribosomal RNA", at positions 35 to 154 of the family's 154-position model. The record is from RNAcentral.